GCUCCUAUGGUGAAACGGAUAUCACGUUAGUCUUCGGAACUAAAGUUGGGGGUUCGAAUCCUCCUGGGAGCACCG
This 75-nucleotide transfer RNA is filed under the name bacterium. Its description in RNAcentral is "tRNA-Arg". It matches the Rfam family "tRNA". Rfam says of the family: Transfer RNA (tRNA) molecules are approximately 80 nucleotides in length. The record is from RNAcentral.